UUUUUGCCUAAAAAACAUUAAGAUGGAGGUGAAAACAGUGCCAGUGGGUCACUUUUAAAGUUUGAAGAUUUCGCUUGUGUGUACAUAUGCGCGUAUGCACUCUCCCUCUCUCUCUCUCACUUGAAUAAUGGAAUAUUUGGCAGCCCUGGACUUCCAGCCCCAUCCUCAUCUCUAGCUCCUCCAUGGAAAUAGUGAUCUGGCCACUGGCAUCUACGCACUGGCAUCUACUAUCCCACAUGGCAUCUACCUGUCAGCUCCGCCCCAUCCCCUCAUUUAUGGCAGGUGUGCCUGACUGACUUCAUGCACUUACAUUACCUGCUUCAUCUCUGUAGACAUUUGAGUUUGCAAGCUCUGUCUUGGAUGUCAGAGCUGAAGGAGGAGCCCAAAGCUUCUCAUUCCUGGCUUCACAUCUUGGGAGUUAAAAAAAAAAAAAAAAAUCUCUCUAGGAGUUCCCAUCAUGGCUCAGUGGAAACGAACCUGACUAGUACCCUUGCUCAGUGGGUUAAGGCUCCAGCAUUGCUGUGAGUUGUGUUGUAGGUCACAAACGUGGCUCGGAACCUGUGUUGCUGUGACUCUGGUGUAGGCUGGCUGCUGCAGCUCCGAUUUGAUCCCCAGCCUGGGAACUUCCAUAUGCCACAGGUGCAGCCCUAGAAAAAAGAAAAAAAAAAAUCCCUCCGGAGGUUCUAGUUUAAUUUUCUGGGCAUAGGACAUGGCAAAAUCUCCACAGGGGCUUCUGAUUUGCGGUCCAGAUGGAGAACAUUGAUCCCGUGCGGUCCCUCAUUUUGCAACUCAGGCAGUGGAGACUUGGAGAGGGAAAGUGAGUUGUCCAAAGACACAAGGCUAUCAUUGAAGAAGCUAGAAUUAAAACCAGGUGUCUUAACCUGUCCUGGAGUACUUCCCUCUGCCUCACGCUGUCUUCUCUAAGUUUGUGCAAGGAAGGGUGAAGUAGCAAAUAGUCUGGUCAAAACACCAGACUUGGAUUUAUUUCUGAGUUUGUCCAGUGAUGAUCAUUUAGUGCUUCUGAUUAACCUACCUCCUAAUAGUGCCUUUUCUUCCUUUGGUUUUAUAACUGAGAUUGCAUGGGUUCCUGGGAAUAAACGGGAGAAGGGAAAGGAGACCAAGCGUGCAUUCAGGAGCUUCUACAAGCCAAAAUUGUCCUAGGGGCUUUGCCAUGGUUGUUUAAUUGAUUUUCUCAAGAACCCUAGAAGGUUAGUAUUGCAUUUCAGGUUAGUAGUAAGAGGAUUAGUAGUUGCAUUUCAAAAUGAUGAGACAGACUCAGGUGGGUUUGAUCAGGUGUCCAGGGUCGCACAGCAGAUACGUGAUUUGUGCUCAGUUCAUAGCUUUCCAAAGCUGACAUUCAAAGUCUACAAGAAUGUACAUUCCUUGGGCAGAAGUUUAAAAAAACCUGUUUUCUCCUUGAUUUCUUUCUAUAUGCCUACAACACAGAUGACACAUAGCAGGCACUCGAUAAAAAUUGGUAGGAUCUGUGAGUUAAUACUGUUGAACUCUGUGGACCUUAAGCCUUGAGGGCUAGAGAUGUUUUGAAUUCAAUAAAAUGUAAAACAUCAAAGAAAAAUCUGCUUCUUUUGAAUCUUGGAACCCAGCAGCUUUCAGAACAUCUGCAAAGGAGCAGCGGGUAUUUAAAACACCUCCUCUGAGUUCCCUAAUGCCAGGUGUUGCAGAAAACUGACAGCUGUGUCUUAAGCGUAUCAGAAAGAGGGUGUGUAUGCACUGCUGUUACAUUAUUUGGGGUAUUUUUUUAAAGGUUGUAGUUAAGGAGAGAAAAGACCAUUAGUUUCUCAUAGAUUGUUCGGGCACACUGAGCCCACACUAAGAUGUGCUGGUGAGAAGAGAUGACCAGGAGUUUGGGAAGUUCAGGGAGGCACGUUGGGUCUCAUUGCCCUGGACCUGAGCUAAUCUGCUUGCUAACCAGUACCUCUCCUUUCCUUGUGUUCCACAGCACAGCAGCUUGCUUAGAAAUGCAGCCUCCUCAACUCUGCCUCUGCAGAACUUGGCCCAUAGCUUCUGCAGAAAUGCCUGUUGUGUGAAAUGAUGAUUGUGUUCCUAUAGACAUGGUAUCAAGGUCUAAAUCCCACGUAUUGCCAUCUCUAUGGUCUUCCUCCAAGAAUUACCUCUGGUUCCUUUUGGAUGGAGGCAGGGUGUAAUUAAUUUUCAUUGCUUUCGUAGUUUACAAUAUUCUGGUCACACUUACCUCCUAUUAGCCUCUCAGUGGUCAUCUGAGAUGUUACCAUCAUGUUGUAGGGAAUCAAAAAACUCAGAGAGGUUGAGGAAUCUUCCCGAAGAUACACAGCCAGGGAGUGGUAGCAGGAAGUUGCAAAUCCUCUGUAUGGAGCUCCGAGAGGGGGACUCGUUAACCAAAGGGUUAACCUUUGACCCUUGACUAUUCCUGGGAAGUAGCCUCUAAGUCCUUGGAAUGUCCUCUGUUUACUUGAGGUCUUGAGCCACACCAGGUGGUCUAUGCUAUCAGUGUGAUUUAUGCUAGGAUUCAGGCCAUGGGGGAUGCCGGUGUGACCUGUCGGAGAGGCUGAAGACUAAGGUCAGCCACGUGGGCAGCCAACAUGUCUAUGUGGCCAACUCCUAGUAAAAUUCUUAAGACACCAAGCCUUGAAUGAGCUUCCUGGGUAGGCUGUGUGUGUAUUCCACGUAUUGGUUCUGGGAGAAAGUUCUGUCCAUGGUUCCCCUGGGAGGGGACAACCAGAGGCCUGUGCCUGGAACUCUCCUGGACCCCACCCUAUGGGCUUCUUCCUGUUCCUGAUUUUAAUCUGUGUCCUUUUGCUGUCAUCAACCAUAACCUGAGUGUAAGAGCUUUGUUGAGUUCCGUCAAUCCUUCCAGUGAACUCCCAAGUGCUCCCAGGUCCUCUCUGCAUCACUGGGGCGUGGGUCAACCAGAAGGACUAAUGGUGGGUCAUCAUGAUGGAAGCUCUGGGUUCAAUUUCCCUGGCCUUGGCCCUCAUCUCCUCCUCCUUCUCGCUUUGGGCCUCUCACUAGGUAGGGCCAGGACCAGGGGAGGCAAGUGAGGCAUUUUGGUCCCAGAUCAGUCUUUGUUUCAAAUGCCUUGUAUAAUAAGAAUUAGCGUUCUGUUUUCCCUCAUGCUCAGCCUCUUCCAACAGAACGUAAACACUUAUCAGAGCCAGCUGUUUCUUUGAAUGGCUCCUACCCACAAAGUGUUCUCCAUCUUUUUAGGAGAGGGUAAGUAAUGGACUAAAGACACAGGAAAGAUAUUUAUGUUUUAGGUCUAAGGGGUGUGGACUCUGAUAGAAGAAGGGUAGUUUCACAGGACUGGCAUGGAUCAUCCAUCCUUUCUAAGGAAACUUGACUCUGCCUAUAACUGAGAUACCUGGAUUUCCUCCAGGAAGUGAAUUCCUUGGCCACCUGUCAGCUACCUCCUGUCCAGUGAUAUUAUAGUCUGUAACCUUACAUGGGAUAUCUAAAAUCUAGAGAUGCUGAAGACAGGACUAUCUAGUAUUCCCAUGGCCUGGAGGAUGGGAUGACAUUUGGAAUCCUUCUUGGUCAGAACCAGGACAGUGGUUCCUAACCCUGGCUGCAUGUUAGCAUCCCUGGGAAGUUGUUAUUGUUUUUGUCCAUGCUCUCAGCAUGCAGAACUUUCCAAGCCAGGGAUGGAACUGGGUCAUAGCAGCUACCCAAGUUGCUACAGUGACAAUGCUGGAUCCUUAACCUGCUGUGCCACAAGAGAACUCCCCCUAGGAGAUUUUGAAAAGGCCUGUUGCUCAGAUCCACCCUUGGAAGUUCUGAUUUAAUACUCUCAGUUGGUACUGGCAUGAUAGUUCCCUUAAGCUUCCUUCCUGGGGUUCUAAUUGCACCAGCAUUUUUAACAACAUCCUACAGCUUUGGUGCCCUCCCCCAGACGUUGCACCUUUUCCUGUCUGCAAAGCAUUUGCCUCUGUUGUUCCCACCAACCAGGUAUGUUCUUCCUUCCUUGUUAGCCUGCUGAGUACCAGUUCACUCUUUAUAGCCUGACUCAAGUGUGACCUUUCUGUAUAUCUCUAGGCAGCCUGACGCCAGACAGAGGUGAUUGCUGCCUUAUUUGUGUUCUUAUAACAUUUUAUGGACAUUACCUAUUAUGAUACCUACAGAAAAUUACAGGCUUUCUGUUUAUCAGUUUGUUCAUUUAAGGGUGGAGACAUUGUUUUCCUCACCUUUGUUUUCCCAACCUGAUAGUCAGCACUGGAUACAGGAGAAGCAUUUACUGAAUAUUUAGUUGUAUUAAAUUGAGGUACUCAAAACAGCUAUCAUGUCAUUGAGGCUGAAACAUCCAUUCUUUAUGAUGCUGGUCUCUUUGUUUUGCUGUUACAGUUGCUGCUCUGCAUUUCAACGUGCCUCAUUUGUGCAACCACUGUUCUCCCACUUGAAUGUUGAAGUAGUUUGCUAAUUGCAGGAUUGCUCUUGGUCACAGUGUGCUGUUUCUUGAUGUGCCAGUCACAAUUUAAAACCAAGACUGCAAGGGCUGUAUUUAGUGAGCUGGAGAAAGUCUGAGUUUACAUGAAUGUUGAAAUGUGUCUGGGGACUCCAUAGGUAUAAAUGAAAACCCAGAAGAGAUAUUCUGUCUUGUAGUCCAUUCUAAGGUCACAUGUCUUUCAAUUUUUAAUUAAGGAUGAAUCCAUCAUCUAAUUGUAAUGUCUUUCUCUCUCUCUUUUUUUUUUUUUCUUGUUUGUAGCAAGUCUCUAUGACAGUGUUGUACCACGGAGAUGGAUGGAUACUAAUGAACCGAGUAGGCCAGAAGGUGGGAGAGGCCAUCCGUAGGAAUCAGCAGGCACACACUUAAUGGUCAUGCUGCUGCUCAGGUCAUGGCCUAAGUGGUGUAAGUGGUGUUCAUUCUGAUUGCUCAUGGCCUGGAAAUUUUUGGUUGCAAGCAUUUUCACUCUUAGUUUUGUCAACAGCAUUUUGGGGGAUCCAUGAGACACAUGAGAUUAGGAGCGAAUUGUUAAUCAACGAAGUUCCUAAGCUCCUCCCUCUGGGACUCCUAAGAAAGGUUUACUGACAAAUUUAGGUCUGUUAGAGUCUAGAUCAGGCAGGCAACAGUCAAUGGGUGGCCCAUGGCUUCUUGGAGGGCAUGAAGAUAAGUGAUUAUAAUGUAAAGAAUGGAGGUAAGGCCAAUGCUGGUCAUAUCUGAAAGAUGAUUAUUGUAUGAGCAGGUCUUUUAGUUAACAUUCUCUUUUUCUGCUAUAAUGCAGUCAAGCCAAAUGAAAGCUCUUUCUCUCUUUGGUACCUCUGAGUAUAAGCAGAUAACCAUGUCAAGUUAAGCUGAUGUGGACUUUCUUAUUACUCUGUCAUCCUCAAAAGCUAACUUCUACCUCAUGGUGUAAUAUGGCUGCUUUAGCUCCACCAUCACAUCUACAUUCCAGCCAAUGGGAAAUAGACAAGAGAAAGGCAGACUAUGCUUACUGUAUGUUAAGGGACUUACUCAGAAGUUACCACUCAGCACUUAAACGCACAUACUGUUGACCAGAAUAUAGUCAAUGGCUAUACCUAGCUUCAAGGAAAACUGGGAAAUGAACUCUUUAUCUAGAUGGCCAUGUGCCCAGCUAAAAUCUUUUUCAAGUGAAGAGCAGAAUAGAUACUGGAAAAAUAGCAAGCCAUGUUUGUCUCAUAGGAGACAUUUUUUCCCCAUCUACUGUUCAAAGUUUGCAAAAUACAGUGAAAUUUCAAAAGUUUUGGGAGGAUGAAUUUUGAGGAUGUAUCUCAAUGUUUUAAGUGCAGUCUCGAAGCAAGGACUCAUGGUUGUGGUUAAACAUAUUAGCAUUUGCAGGUUGCCUAGAAAAUAUCAGUCCCUAAAAACAUAUCCUGUUUAAUGGAUGUGUCAAACAUUGUUUAAUGCUAAUUUAACUUCUUAAUAUAAUACCUUAGUGAGAUUGUUUGCCCAAUAUUCCCAAGAGUCCUAGGAUAUCAGUGUGUGUGUGUGUGUGUGUGUGUGUGGAGGGUGCAAACUUAGAAAUUUCCAUAAAAUUAUUUACUUGGAAGAAGACUUAAAAUUUGCACGAAUGGAGGUGCUUUCUGUAUCAUUAAGUUUCUAUUUUGAAAAAAGGCAUCAUGAUUUCAUGUGUGUAUAUAAAUUGUGGGUGUGCGUGUGCAUGUGCAUAUCCUUAAUAUGAUCCUUAGUAUAGUCGUGUGAUAUAGUUGGAGAAAGUACCAUUUUAUAGAGAUGCGGUGAUUAGAUCCUGGGCCUGGAGCUUGAGCCUGAUGCAACAAUCAGUAAAACUGCUUGGAGUAAGGAGCUGUCUCAGGAGAGGAUGAAGCUACUUUUUCUGAGGGAGGAAUGUAAACAUGUUCAGUUAGGGACAGGACUGUUUUCACAACAGUCUGCACAUUCUUUGGCAACCUUUUCCUCAUUGAGGUGGAUCCUGAUUCCCUUCUUGGAUAUAGGCUGGCCUUAGGGACUCCAUUCCUGUGACGACAAUGUGCGAGCAGUGACCCUCCAUGUCUUCCAAUGUUAGGUCAUAGAAGCUAUGUAGUUUCCCACUGGCUGUCUCUGGGGACUCUUGCUCUCAGCCAAGCUGCCGUCUUGUGAGGAAGUCCAGGCCCCAUGGUGAGAC
This 6572-nucleotide long non-coding RNA is filed under the name Sus scrofa (pig). Its description in RNAcentral is "lncRNA (ENSSSCG00015003795.1)". Lineage: Eukaryota; Metazoa; Chordata; Mammalia; Artiodactyla; Suidae. The record is from RNAcentral.